Long non-coding RNA from Apis laboriosa (Himalayan honeybee), 1318 nucleotides. RefSeq lists it as uncharacterized. The transcript is spliced from 3 exons. NCBI's taxonomy places the organism in Eukaryota, Metazoa, Arthropoda, Insecta, Hymenoptera, Apidae. The record is from RefSeq and is a predicted model, not a curated record.
GUCAACGAUAAAAGACGACGCUUGCAUGUAAUGCAAUAAAAUGGAUUAUAACAAACAAUGGAAUAUAUCUGGUUAUUUGAAGGGUGUUAUUAAUUUCAGUCGUUUUUUUAACCAUCUAUUCGAGUUUAUAAGAUAGCAAGGAAUUUCGAGGGCGUGAGAUGUAAUGCCACGUUUCCAAUGGUCGUCAGCGUGGCGUCUCUUGUACGAGACACGCGUAGACAGACUGUAUAUCUUUGUCUUAAGUUGGAGAAGGAUGGGGUUAAAGAAGAAAGAGCAAAAGACGCGAGAGGUGGCCAGUGGAAAGCCGACUAAAACCCGAGCCAAGAGAUCUGAGAUUUCGACUUCUAUUCUGGUCAGAGAUGCGAUCCGAUUGCGCUCGACGUCGCGUUAGAAACGCGAGACAAUAUUAUUAGACACGUUGGAAAAACGAAGAAAAAGAAAAAACAAUUUCUAACAAACUUAUACUGACAUUAACGUUUGCUCAUUGAUCAUACAGUUCAAUUAACAAUGAAGCUGGAAAUUUAACAAUAUCAGAAGGAAAAUAUAUCCUACAAUUGACAUUUUAUGUUAUUUUAUUAUCCCCAAUAAUAAAAAAACAUAUUGUUUUAAGGAAAACUAUAAAAUCUUUCUUAAAAAUAUUUCUCAAGAGGAGAGCUCUUUCAAAUACAAAAGAUGAAUACUUCAGGAUUACUUUGCACAUAGUCGAAAAGGCAGAAAGGCAAGCUUUUGUCCGCGAACGAAGAAGCAUUUCAUGGAUGUGAAGAGAGCAAAUUGAAAAUCGGUUGGUCAGUUUGUCGGCAAGCAGAGAGAAGAUUUCCCCAAGUACACAGAGAAAAGAAAAGUCUGUCGCUACUCUCUCACAGUUUCUCUCUCUACUCUCUAGAUCCAGUCUGCUCGGCAGGUGAGCACGUUGAGGAAGAAGCGUUGAGAGAAGAAGGGACUUCACCGGCAGCUGAUUCCAUAAGCAGAUAGGAAAGAAUUUCUUCGGCCUAAAAUAAUGGGGAUGCAGCCUACCGUGUACACACCGCCUCUGUUUACAAACUUUGGCUCACCUCUCUUUUCCUCCACGAUCAAGCUGAAACGCAUCCACCUUUUCUUUUUUUUCUACCUGCUUCUCUUCCUCUACCUCUUUGCAAAUAUACCAAUCGCGCAAUUUUAAAGGAAAAAUAUCCUCCAUGAAUUGUAACUUGUACUGCUUUUUUUUAAAGUAUACAAUAAUAACAUGUAAAAAAUAAUACCUGUAUCCGAUUGUGAGAAAGUUACUUUUACGAUAUGAAACAAUACCUAUUAUAAAUAUUUUUAAACAAUUCUUAAUAAU